GACGAACGCUGGCGGCGUGCUUAACACAUGCAAGUCGAACGGUGAAGGGGCCUGCUUUUGUGGGUCCUGGAUGAGUGGCGAACGGGUGAGUAACACGUGAGUAACCUGCCCCCUUCUUCUGGAUAACCGCAUGAAAGUGUGGCUAAUACGGGAUAUUCUGGGUCUGUCGCAUGGUGGGCCUGGGAAAGAUUGCGCCUUUUUUGGUGUUUUUGGUGGGGGAUGGGCUCGCGGCCUAUCAGCUUGUUGGUGGGGUGAUGGCCUACCAAGGCGGUGACGGGUAGCCGGCCUGAGAGGGUGGACGGUCACACUGGGACUGAGACACGGCCCAGACUCCUACGGGAGGCAGCAGUGGGGAAUAUUGCACAAUGGGCGCAAGCCUGAUGCAGCGACGCCGCGUGAGGGAUGGAGGCCUUCGGGUUGUGAACCUCUUUCGCCAGUGAAGCAGGCCUGCUCCUUUUUUGUGGGUGGGUUGACGGUAGCUGGAUAAGAAGCGCCGGCUAACUACGUGCCAGCAGCCGCGGUAAUACGUAGGGCGCGAGCGUUGUCCGGAAUUAUUGGGCGUAAAGAGCUCGUAGGCGGCUGGUCGCGUCUGUCGUGAAAUCCUCUGGCUUAACUGGGGGCUUGCGGUGGGUACGGGCCGGCUUGAGUGCGGUAGGGGAGGCUGGAACUCCUGGUGUAGCGGUGGAAUGCGCAGAUAUCAGGAAGAACACCGGUGGCGAAGGCGGGUCUCUGGGCCGUUACUGACGCUGAGGAGCGAAAGCGUGGGGAGCGAACAGG
RNAcentral lists this ribosomal RNA (777 nucleotides) under uncultured Actinomyces sp. RNAcentral's name for it is "bacterial SSU rRNA". It matches the Rfam family "Bacterial small subunit ribosomal RNA", at positions 28 to 776 of the family's 1533-position model. Lineage: Bacteria; Bacillati; Actinomycetota; Actinomycetes; Actinomycetales; Actinomycetaceae. The record is from RNAcentral.